CAAAGAGUAGUUUAGUAGAUUAGAAUCUUGGCUUUGGGAGCCAGGGGCAGGAGUUUAAGUCUCCUCUCUUUGA
This 73-nucleotide transfer RNA is filed under the name Pseudocheilinus hexataenia (sixline wrasse). RNAcentral's name for it is "tRNA-Pro". It matches the Rfam family "tRNA". From Rfam's summary of the family: Transfer RNA (tRNA) molecules are approximately 80 nucleotides in length. Their secondary structure includes four short double-helical elements and three loops (D, anti-codon, and T loops). The record is from RNAcentral. Lineage: Eukaryota; Metazoa; Chordata; Actinopteri; Labriformes; Labridae.